MicroRNA precursor from Oryza sativa Japonica Group (Japanese rice), 184 nucleotides. It matches the Rfam family "MIR812 microRNA precursor family". The record is from Rfam. Lineage: Eukaryota; Viridiplantae; Streptophyta; Magnoliopsida; Poales; Poaceae.
AAAAAGGCAAACCGUGGGUUUUCGUGCCAACGUUUGACUGUCCAUAAAAAAUUUUAUAAUUAUUAUUUUCAUUGUUGUUAGAUAUAAAACAUGAUUAAUACUUUAUGCGUGACUUAUUUUUUUAAUUUUUUCAAAUAGGACGGAUAGUCAAACGUUGGACACGGAAAUCAGGGUUUGUCUUUUU